UUUCCGUAGGUGAACCUGCGGAAGGAUCAUUAUUGUAUAACCGAGGUGCGAGGGCUGUCGCUGACCCGAAAGGUCGUGCACGCCCGAGUGCCCUCACACACAUCCAUCUCACCCCUAUGUGCACCACCGCGUGGGUCCCCCUUUGGCUUGUUCGGAGGGGGGCUUACGUUUUCACACGGACUUUGUAUGCAGUGUAGAAUGUAUUUUUUGUUUUUGCGAUCACGCAAUCAAUACAACUUUCAACAACGGAUCUCUUGGCUCUC
RNAcentral lists this unclassified non-coding RNA (263 nucleotides) under plant metagenome. RNAcentral's name for it is "partial contains small subunit ribosomal RNA, internal transcribed spacer 1, and 5.8S ribosomal RNA". The record is from RNAcentral.